This 898-nucleotide ribosomal RNA is filed under the name Bacillus sp. SKR5. Its description in RNAcentral is "bacterial SSU rRNA". It matches the Rfam family "Bacterial small subunit ribosomal RNA", at positions 605 to 1497 of the family's 1533-position model. The record is from RNAcentral. Lineage: Bacteria; Bacillati; Bacillota; Bacilli; Caryophanales; Bacillaceae.
CGGCUCAACCGUGGAGGGUCAUUGGAAACUGGGGGACUUGAGUGCAGAAGAGGAGAGCGGAAUUCCACGUGUAGCGGUGAAAUGCAUAGAGAUGUGGAGGAACACCAGUGGCGAAGGCGGCUCUCUGGUCUGUAACUGACGCUGAGGCGCGAAAGCGUGGGGAGCGAACAGGAUUAGAUACCCUGGUAGUCCACGCCGUAAACGAUGAGUGCUAAGUGUUAGAGGGUUUCCGCCCUUUAGUGCUGCAGCAAACGCAUUAAGCACUCCGCCUGGGGAGUACGGUCGCAAGACUGAAACUCAAAGGAAUUGACGGGGGCCCGCACAAGCGGUGGAGCAUGUGGUUUAAUUCGAAGCAACGCGAAGAACCUUACCAGGUCUUGACAUCCUCUGACACUCCUAGAGAUAGGACGUUCCCCUUCGGGGGACAGAGUGACAGGUGGUGCAUGGUUGUCGUCAGCUCGUGUCGUGAGAUGUUGGGUUAAGUCCCGCAACGAGCGCAACCCUUGAUCUUAGUUGCCAGCAUUUAGUUGGGCACUCUAAGGUGACUGCCGGUGACAAACCGGAGGAAGGUGGGGAUGACGUCAAAUCAUCAUGCCCCUUAUGACCUGGGCUACACACGUGCUACAAUGGAUGGUACAAAGGGCAGCAAAACCGCGAGGUUAAGCCAAUCCCAUAAAACCAUUCUCAGUUCGGAUUGCAGGCUGCAACUCGCCUGCAUGAAGCCGGAAUCGCUAGUAAUCGCGGAUCAGCAUGCCGCGGGUGAAUACGUUCCCGGGGCCUUGUACACACCGCCCGUCACACCACGAGAGUUUGUAACACCCGAAGUCGGUGGGGUAACCGUAAGGAGCCAGCCGCCUAAGGUGGGACAGAUGAUUGGGGGUGAAGUCGUAACAAAGGU